Molecule: non-coding RNA, 73 nt
Organism: Stegodyphus mimosarum
Lineage: Eukaryota; Metazoa; Arthropoda; Arachnida; Araneae; Eresidae
Source: Rfam
GCCUUCGUGGUGUAGUGGUCAGCACGCUCGGCGCGUAUUCGAGAGGUCCGUGGUUCGAGUCCCGGUGAGAGCA